Molecule: small nuclear RNA, 105 nt
Organism: Sciurus carolinensis (gray squirrel)
Lineage: Eukaryota; Metazoa; Chordata; Mammalia; Rodentia; Sciuridae
Source: RefSeq, a predicted model, not a curated record
GUACUCAUUUUCAAAGCACAUAUCUAAAAUUGGAAUGAUACAGUAAAGAUUGGCAUGGCAGUGCACCAAGAUGACACACACAUUCAUGAAGCAUUCCGUAUUCCU